Molecule: non-coding RNA, 75 nt
Organism: Myotis lucifugus (little brown bat)
Lineage: Eukaryota; Metazoa; Chordata; Mammalia; Chiroptera; Vespertilionidae
Source: Rfam
GGUGGUUCUCGUGUGAUGACUCCAGGAUCAGGCUCCCUCCUCUCUGGUUCCAGGGUGCGUCAUGCGAGAACCGCC